GGCUCAGACCUCGUAACGGGUGGAGGAGAGACCUGAGAAGCCUCGUCCUCUGACUCCGACUCAUUGCUUAAUGGUGUGAGACUGCUGAAUUUGAAUUUUCUUCCAGAAGCCAUGAGAAAAUUGUCCGGCUGCAGGGACUGCAUAAGGCGAUAGUUGUCCUGUAUAUUAUGAGUACAGCGACUGCAAUUAAAUGUCAUAGUGUUAAUGUUACUAUUUAGCUUUGGCUGGUGGAGGUCCUGUAGAAACAUGUCCAGAUAAAGCGUCCGAGGUGAAAAAGUUGAAUGAAAAAGUAGAGCGAGGGGGAAAAAGAAAAAAUAACAGUUAUUAAAAUUUUUGUAACUAAUUUUAGAAAGAAAAAAACAUGAAGUUGGCAGGUAGCAAAGUAACGUUAGCAACAACCCGCACAGCAGCUCAUAAACAAGUCCAUAGCUAGUUGGCAAGCUUGAACUGACCGCAUUUUAACUACUUUGGAGAUAUGAAACAGACAAUCAUAUCAGUAAAAAAGAAUAAAUUCCCAGUUUAUGUUACAAAACCAACUUUAUAAGAGAUUUUAAAAAGAGGUUAUAUUUGACUCAACAUUCCAUGACGUACACAGACGCAUUGUUGGCAGAAUAGAUGGAUGCAGUUCAAUAUAUGAUUCAUAUGAUUCACCAAUACAUUUCUUGGUAGUCCAAAAAAUAUUAUCAGGUUGUAAAUCACAGCUGGCCUGGUACAUUGUUUACAGCCUCCAUUCGGGAUGCAUUGUUUGUAUACAUGACAAAAAAUUUGGGACAAAAACUGAUGAAUUUAUUGUAACUCUGGCUGGGAAUGUCAAAACAUUCAAAAAAAUCCUCAGAGUGAGGUGUUCUCAAGCUAGCCAACUUUAGCCAGUUAGUUUGGUUGCUUGGUUGCAGACAAGCUGCAGAAGAACAAGUAGGCUACAAUUCCUAAUUUUAAUUAUCCAGCUAACCAGAGAGUUGUGAACAGGCACACACUUUAUUUAGGCAGAGGCAAUAAAACAGACAGAUGCCACUGCGUCAAAACCUCCAGCCAAAGGUAAAAGUGCAAGGUGCGAAACAGUCACCAAAACAGUCACCAGAUGUUUUACAAUAAACAUCCUUCAUGAAAAUACCAUGGAAUAACGGGAAAAAACCCAGCCUGGCGCGUACACGCAAAACACGUAACAAAUCCAAUUUCACACAAAGACAUGGGGGGAACAGAGGAAUAAAUACAUGCAGUGUGAUUAGGGAAUGUAAACCAGGUGUGCACGGAACAAGACAAAACAAAUGGAACAAUGAAAAAAUGAGCGGCGAUGGCUAGAAAGCCGGUGACAUCGAUCGCCGCCCAAACAAGGAGAGGAGCCGACUUCGGAAGAAGUCGUGACAUUGAGAGGGUUAUCUCAUGCUCCUUCGUUAGAUUUGAGCUAAUAUCGUUCUGGCUAACAUUAGUUGUUGAUCUUGUGUCACGCCUGCCCCCGCUCUUCCCCCCCUGGCGCUCGAGGGUGCCAGGCUCCCCUGCAUUACACACUCCUGCCACCAUCAUUAUGCACACCUGCCUUCUUUCGUCACGCGCAUCAGCGAUUCAUUGGACUCACCUGGGCUGUAUCACCUGUUUUAUUACCUCCCCUAUAUCUGUCUGUUCCGCAGCUCCGUCCCCUACUUCUGCAUUGAUUGUUGUCUGUCUUUGUGUUACCAGUGUGCUGACGCUGUUCCUAUCAUGUUCCAUGUCUGUUCCAAUUAAAUGUUGACCCCACGUACCUGCUUCUCUCCUCCAGUGUCGGUCCUUCUAUCUUGUUGUUGUUGAAGCGAUUAACUCAGGGAGAGCCUACCUUUUCAUGGUUGUUUAAUCAAUAGGACUGUAAAGUCCCAAAAUGUCAAAUUAGCAAAUGUAUUAAAAUGAUCUAAAGUCACACUUUUGCAACUGCCUGUAAACACACAGUCCAGUUCAAAGUGAAGGAUGACAGGCUUUUUUUUUUUUUUUACAUGAAGGCCUACUGUAGCUCUGAUUGGCUAUGGUGCACCUGUCUGCGUAGACUCCGGUCCUGGGUGAGACAGAUGUUUUUAUUAGGUUUUAUUUCCUGCAGUGUCUAUUAAUUGUCCAAUUGCAUGGCCGUUUUCCCACUCUAUAUUGCUAUAGAAUUUUUAAAAAUGCCUUAGUACACGUCAUUCCCAAAUAUUCUAAGUAUGUAUGAUAAUGGGAAAAUGACCAAAUUGUUUUUAAAAGUAUCAUAUUCUUCCUGGGGUUUGUAUAUGAACAGAUUUUUAAAAUAAGAUUACAUGUUGCUAAAAUGCUGUCAGUUCCACUUUUAAACUAUCCAUUUUGACUUUCUACUUAAAUUGUGUUAAUGUGGUCUACCACCGUAGACAAACCGGCCACGCUCCAUCAUGCUCUAAUAGAUUUUGGCCCCCCACACUAAACGCGAUCACGACACUCAGGUUGAAAUAUCAAAACAAACUCUGAACCAAUUAUAUUAAUUUGGGGACAGGUAGAAAAGCAUUAAACAUUUAUGGAAAUUUAGUUAGCUUGCAGUUACUAGCUAAUUUGUCCUAUUUAGCUAGCUUGCUGUUGCUAGCUAAUUUGUCCUGGGAUAUAAACGUUGAGUUGUUAUUUUACCUGAAAUGCACAAGGUCCUCUACUCCGACAAUUAAUCCACACAUAAAAUGGUCGACUGAAUUGUUUCUAGGCAUCUCUCCUCCUUCCAGGCUUUUUCUUCUUUGGAAUUUAUAUGGCGAUUGGCAUCAAACUUUCAUAGUUACUUCGACGACCGACCGAACUCAGUUCAUAUUUCAAUCACCCACGUGGGUAUAACCAAUGAGGAGAUGGCACGUGGGUAUCUGCUUCUAUAAACCAAUGAGGAGAUGGGAGAGGCAGGACUUGCACUGCGUUCAGGGUCACAAAUAAAACUAUCUUCUAUUUUAGCACUUGGCAAUGCAGAUGCUCGUUGGCAGCGCUCGAGCAGUGUUGGUGCAAUAAUUGAAUAACAUCUAUGUUUGCAUUGUUUUUUUGCGACGCGAGCGGUGUGGUCAGCAUGUAAGGCACUGCAUCUCAGUGCGAGAGGCAUCACUACAGACCCUGGUUCGAUUCCAGGCUGUAUCACAACCGGCAGUGAUUGGGAGUCCCAUAGGGCGGUGCACAAUUGGUCCAGCGUUGUCCGGGUUAGGGUUUGGCCGGGUUAGGCCGUCAUUGUAAUUAAGAAUUUGUUCUUAGCUGAUUUGCCUAGUUAAAUAAAGGUUAAAAAUACAAAUGUACGUUAUGUCUUUUUCCCCCAUUGCAAGAAUACUAGAGGGUGCAUGGUCCUGAGAGUGCUUCUCCCACCACCAAUAUACCGAAUGCAGGUACUAAAAAAACAUGAUCCUGAGAGGGUUUUUCACACCACCAGUGUAAUGACUUGGAAAGAAGACUGCCCACCCAAGCAUUGAUGAGGCCUGAAAGUCAUAAUGUAGCGCUGGAAUCAAUAUGGCUGAAUAUCUCUACCAGGUGACCAAAAAAACAAGAGACCCCAAACCUUAGUUCAGACUCUCUGGAAUAUUGUAUCUACUCCCUGGCAUUCACCAUCAUGAAUGGACAGGCUCUGGAGCAGAAGACAUUAUGUUACGUUGUUGUUUUACACAAAUUCCUAUUGGAAAUGGAUACCUGGUAGGGGUUGUGGGUGUAGAGGGUAAAGUGUUUCCUUUCCUUCAGCCCAUUUCCUCAGCUUUAAUUUGUAGGGCUGCUGUGAUUUUCAAAUGAUGGAUUGUGUUUGUAAAGUUUCUGUUUAUUUGUGUGUUGCUUAUUUGUUUCUUUUGCAUUACUUCAUUUUGUAGCUGAAAUUAAUAUAUGAAAAUAAACUUUUGGUAUUUUAUCUACAA
Molecule: long non-coding RNA, 3827 nt
Organism: Oncorhynchus tshawytscha (Chinook salmon)
Lineage: Eukaryota; Metazoa; Chordata; Actinopteri; Salmoniformes; Salmonidae
Source: Ensembl